Molecule: microRNA precursor, 84 nt
Organism: Caenorhabditis elegans
Lineage: Eukaryota; Metazoa; Nematoda; Chromadorea; Rhabditida; Rhabditidae
Source: Ensembl
UGAACAGAAAAAGUCGUGUGUUUCAAGAAGUCGAUAAUAUUCAAGACUUAAUUUUUUUGUUGCAGAGACAUUUUGGACAAUUGC